AGAGUUUGAUCCUGGCUCAGAUUGAACGCUGGCGGCAGGCCUAACACAUGCAAGUCGAGCGGAUGAGUGGAGCUUGCUCCAUGAUUCAGCGGCGGACGGGUGAGUAAUGCCUAGGAAUCUGCCUGGUAGUGGGGGACAACGUUUCGAAAGGAACGCUAAUACCGCAUACGUCCUACGGGAGAAAGUGGGGGAUCUUCGGACCUCACGCUAUCAGAUGAGCCUAGGUCGGAUUAGCUAGUUGGUGAGGUAAAGGCUCACCAAGGCGACGAUCCGUAACUGGUCUGAGAGGAUGAUCAGUCACACUGGAACUGAGACACGGUCCAGACUCCUACGGGAGGCAGCAGUGGGGAAUAUUGGACAAUGGGCGAAAGCCUGAUCCAGCCAUGCCGCGUGUGUGAAGAAGG
RNAcentral lists this ribosomal RNA (404 nucleotides) under uncultured bacterium. Its description in RNAcentral is "bacterial SSU rRNA". It matches the Rfam family "Bacterial small subunit ribosomal RNA", at positions 8 to 414 of the family's 1533-position model. The record is from RNAcentral.